This 883-nucleotide ribosomal RNA is filed under the name uncultured prokaryote. RNAcentral describes it as "partial 16S ribosomal RNA". It matches the Rfam family "Bacterial small subunit ribosomal RNA", at positions 37 to 913 of the family's 1533-position model. The record is from RNAcentral.
UAAUGUGUGCGGGCGCUCCAUGCAGUCGGAGGUAGCACAGAGGGCUUGGUCUCUGGUGAGGAGUGGGGCGCGGGUGUGUAAUGUGUGGGGAUCUGCCCGAUAUAGGGGGAUAUCCCCUGUGAACGGGGGGUAAUACCGCAUAACGUCUCAAGACCAAAGAGGGGGACCUUCUGGCCUCUCACUAUCUGAUGAACCCCCAUGGGGUUUUCUAUUAUGCGGGGUAACGGCCCACCCAUGCGACAAUACCUAUCUGGGGUGAGAGGAGGAGCCCCCCCACUGUGACUGUGACACGGUCCCCACACUCACAGGGGGGGCCACUGGGGAAUAUUGUGCAAUGUGGGCAAGCCUGAGGCGCCCCUGCGCCGUGUGUGAGAAAAGCGUUCUGGUUGUGUAGUACUUUUUCCGCGGAGAAAAGCGCUGAGGUUAAUAACCUUACUGAUUGACGUUUCCCCCACAAAAAACACCGGCUAAAUCCCUGCGACCAGCCCCGGUAAUACAGAGGGGGCGAGCGCUUAUCUCAAUAAUAGGGCGUAAAGCGCACACACGCGGUCUGUUAAAUCACAUAUGAAAUCCCCGGGCUUAAACCGUGAACUGUAUUUUAGACUGUCGGGCUUGAGUCUCUCAGAGAGGGGGAUAAAUCUCCGUGUGUCGCUGAAAUGCGUAUAGAUCUGGAGAAGUACACGUGGCGAAAGCGGCGCCCUGUGCGAAAACAGACACUCACGUGCGAAAGCGUGUGGAGCACACACGAUAAUAUACACUGUGAGUCUACACCCUAUACGAUAUCUACAUGUAGAUUGUUCUCUUGAGGAGAGUGUUCUGGAGCUCUCACGCUAUGUCUACCCCCUGUGGAGUACAGCGCACGGUGAAAACUCUCAUGAAUUGU